This 251-nucleotide ribosomal RNA is filed under the name uncultured prokaryote. Its description in RNAcentral is "partial 16S ribosomal RNA". It matches the Rfam family "Bacterial small subunit ribosomal RNA", at positions 524 to 774 of the family's 1533-position model. The record is from RNAcentral.
UACGGAGGAUGCAAGCGUUAUCCGGAUUCAUUGGGUUUAAAGGGUGCGUAGGCGGACUAUUAAGUCAGUGGUGAAAGCCUGCAGCUUAACUGCAGAACUGCCAUUGAUACUGAUAGUCUUGAGUUUGGUUAAGGUAGGCGGAAUGUGUAAUGUAGCGGUGAAAUGCUUAGAUAUUACACAGAACACCAAUUGCGUAGGCAGCUUACUGAGCCGACACUGACGCUGAGGCACGAAAGCGUGGGGAUCAAACA